Molecule: ribosomal RNA, 406 nt
Filed under: uncultured bacterium
Lineage: Bacteria
Description: partial 16S ribosomal RNA
Rfam family: Bacterial small subunit ribosomal RNA
Source: RNAcentral
GACGAACGCUGGCGGCAGGCCUAACACAUGCAAGUCGAGCGAGCGGCGGACGGGUUAGUAAUGUCUGGGAAACUGCCUGAUGGGGGGGGAUAACUACUGGAAACGGUAGCUACUACCGCAUACCAUCGGAUGUGCCCAGAUGGGAUUAGCUAGUAGGUGGGGUAACGGCUCACCUAGGCGACGAUCCCUCGCUGGUCUGAGAGGAUGACCAGCCACACUGGAACUGUGACACGGUCCAGACUCCUACGGGAGGCAGCAGUGGGGAAUAUUGCACAAUGGGCGCAAGCCGGAUGCAGCCAUGCCGCGUGUAUGAAGAAGGCCUUCGGGUUGUAAAGUACUUUCAGCGAGGAGGCGUUACUCGCAGAAUAAGCACCGGCUAACUACGUGCCAGCAGCCGCGGUAAUAC